This 497-nucleotide ribosomal RNA is filed under the name uncultured bacterium. RNAcentral describes it as "partial 16S ribosomal RNA". It matches the Rfam family "Bacterial small subunit ribosomal RNA", at positions 28 to 507 of the family's 1533-position model. The record is from RNAcentral.
GAUGAACGCUGGCGGCGUGCCUAAUACAUGCAAGUCGAGCGAACAGACGAGGAGCUUGCUCCUCUGACGUUAGCGGCGGACGGGUGAGUAACACGUGGAUAACCUACCUAUAAGACUGGGAUAACUUCGGGAAACCGGAGCUAAUACCGGAUAAUAUAUUGAACCGCAUGGUUCAAUAGUGAAAGACGGUUUUGCUGUCACUUAUAGAUGGAUCCGCGCCGCAUUAGCUAGUUGGUAAGGUAACGGCUUACCAAGGCAACGAUGCGUAGCCGACCUGAGAGGGUGAUCGGCCACACGGGAACUGAGACACGGUCCAGACUCCUACGGGAGGCAGCAGUAGGGAAUCUUCCGCAAUGGUCGAAAGCCUGACGGAGCAACGCCGCGUGAGUGAUGAAGGUCUUCGGAUCGUAAAACUCUGUUAUUAGGGAAGAACAAAUGUGUAAGUAACUAUGCACGUCUUGACGGUACCUAAUCAGAAAGCCACGGCUAACUACGUG